RNAcentral lists this ribosomal RNA (114 nucleotides) under Acanthosepion pharaonis. The record is from RNAcentral. Lineage: Eukaryota; Metazoa; Mollusca; Cephalopoda; Sepiida; Sepiidae.
UUACGGUCAAAUCACGCUGAAACACCGGUUCUCGUACGAUCACCGAAGUUAAGCAGCGUAGAGCCAGGUCAGUACUUAGAUAGGGGACCGCUUGGGAACACCUGGUACUGUAAG